UACAGAGGGUGCGAGCGUUAAUCGGAAUGACUGGGCGUAAAGGGUGCGUAGGUGGUGCUUUAAGUCUACUGUGAAAGCCCCGGGCUUAACCUGGGAACGGCAGUGGAUACUGGAGGACUAGAGUAGGUGAGAGGAGAGUGGAAUUUCCGGUGUAGCGGUGAAAUGCGUAGAGAUCGGAAAGAACACCAGUGGCGAAGGCGGCUCUCUGGUACCAUACUGACACUGAGGCACGAAAGCGUGGGGAUCAAACAGG
This 253-nucleotide ribosomal RNA is filed under the name uncultured bacterium. RNAcentral's name for it is "partial 16S ribosomal RNA". It matches the Rfam family "Bacterial small subunit ribosomal RNA", at positions 524 to 776 of the family's 1533-position model. The record is from RNAcentral.